Molecule: long non-coding RNA, 657 nt
Organism: Cyprinus carpio carpio
Lineage: Eukaryota; Metazoa; Chordata; Actinopteri; Cypriniformes; Cyprinidae
Source: Ensembl
AUGAUUGUUUUCAGAACCAAAGAACAUAUCCUUUCAAGCAAUAUACAGCUUUCUUCCAUUCAAGUCCCUGGACAGUGUCAAAUUUCUCUAAGAAGUGCCAAUCCUAGUACAAGUGACAGAAGUGGAGCGAUUCACAUCUACAAGGUCACUCAGUCAAAAGGAGGUCAUUCAAAGGCUGUAAACUGUUUCAUGGAGAACACAUCCCAAUGUUACCACGACGACCUGAUGCCCUCGUCAAGAAGGAGCAACUCAUCAGCAGAAAAGUUACAUCUAUUAUUUUCUAUUAUUUCACUCUAUUUUGCUAUACUAUAUAUGUAUAUAAAUAUAUAUAUAUAUAUAUAUAUAUAUAUAUAUAUAUAUAUAUAUAUAUAUAUAUAUAUAUAUAUAUAUAUAUAUAUAUAUAUAUAUAUGUAUAUGUGAUUUAUGCUAUAAUUGCUGUAAUUAUAUUUAAACAUGUUUAUUUCAGUUCUAUUUUGUUCUAACAGCUGCAACUUGAGGACUAUCUGAGGAAUAUAUUGAAAAGGCCUUUAUACAGGACACAUCCUGCUACAGUAAGUCACAGCUCAAACAUUUUCCCUUGUCCGUGCCCUUACAAAAAGUACUGUUGCACUACCAUGUGAUGGUUAUACAAUGGCUUUACUGAAUGAUCAAAGAGCA